This 72-nucleotide transfer RNA is filed under the name Camelus bactrianus (Bactrian camel). It matches the Rfam family "tRNA". From Rfam's summary of the family: Transfer RNA (tRNA) molecules are approximately 80 nucleotides in length. Their secondary structure includes four short double-helical elements and three loops (D, anti-codon, and T loops). Further hydrogen bonds mediate the characteristic L-shaped molecular structure. tRNAs have two regions of fundamental functional importance: the anti-codon, which is responsible for specific mRNA codon recognition, and the 3' end, to which the tRNAs corresponding amino acid is attached (by aminoacyl-tRNA synthetases). tRNAs cope with the degeneracy of the genetic code in two manners: having more than one tRNA (with a specific anti-codon) for a particular amino acid; and 'wobble' base-pairing, i.e. permitting non-standard base-pairing at the 3rd anti-codon position. RNAcentral also lists the same sequence under 2 other names. Lineage: Eukaryota; Metazoa; Chordata; Mammalia; Artiodactyla; Camelidae. The record is from Rfam by way of RNAcentral.
GAAGGUAUAGCUCAGUGGUAAAGUGCAUGCCUAGCACGCAGGAGGUCUUGGGUUCAAUCCCCAUUACCUCUA